ACGCACGCUGGCGGCGUGCCUCAUACAUGCAAGUAGCACGCUGAAGGAGGAGCUUGCUUCUCUGGAUGAGUUGCGAACGGGUGAGUAACGCGUAGGUAACCUGCCUGGUAGCGGGGGAUAACUAUUGGAAACGAUAGCUAAUACCGCAUAAGAGUAGAUGUUGCAUGACAUUUACUUAAAAGGUGCAAUUGCAUCACUACCAGAUGGACCUGCGUUGUAUUAGCUAGUUGGUGAGGUAACGGCUCACCAAGGCAACGAUACAUAGCCGACCUGAGAGGGUGAUCGGCCACACUGGGACUGAGACACGGCCCAGACUCCUACGGGAGGCAGCAGUAGGGAAUCUUCGGCAAUGGACGGAAGUCUGACCGAGCAACGCCGCGUGAGUGAAGAAGGUUUUCGGAUCGUAAAGCUCUGUUGUAAGAGAAGAACGAGUGUGAGAGUGGAAAGUUCACACUGUGACGGUAUCUUACCAGAAAGGGACGGCUAACUACGUG
Molecule: ribosomal RNA, 494 nt
Filed under: uncultured bacterium
Lineage: Bacteria
Description: partial 16S ribosomal RNA
Rfam family: Bacterial small subunit ribosomal RNA
Source: RNAcentral